This 12631-nucleotide long non-coding RNA is filed under the name Setaria viridis. Its description in RNAcentral is "long non-coding RNA (SVIR_LNC011050)". The record is from RNAcentral. Lineage: Eukaryota; Viridiplantae; Streptophyta; Magnoliopsida; Poales; Poaceae.
AGGAAGUACGGAUGGAAAUCGGCCAAAAGGUGCUACAGUACGGAAUCGGUCAGUAGCUUUUACUCCGCUUCCGGGUGAAUGCGCCAGGUUCCCAAUCGGCAAUCCUUUGCUGAUAAGAGAUCGGCCGAUCGGGAAGGUGGACUAAGGUGGGCCUGUAUGGGCUUGGAAAAAUGGAGGGAUAAGGUUCAGCCCACGAAGCGUGGGGUAGUUGGUUUAGCACGGAUUGUGCUGGUAGAUGUUUGUUUUCUGUUUGAAUUAGAGAUAGAGUUCUAGUCGGUUAAGAAGAUUAUGUGUACGGGGCUAUAAAUAGCUACCUUUGUAAAUCUGUAAACAACAAUCAAUCAAUACAACAAGUUACUUUAUUCUUCGUACUUACUGUCAAGCAGGCGACUUCGCCAUUACUUUUCCUUCUCACGAGUUCGUGCGGGUUGGCAGGGCUGCAUCAUCUUGAUCUCCGGCCGAUUCUGUAAGUUCCGUUUAUCGAGUAAUAUCUAAGCUUUAACUUCCGGCGCAUCGCUGUUGUUUCGUUUAGAUUUAUUCAUCAGUUAUCGAUAUUGACUAGAUUCAUAGGUUUUUACCUGUUUUCCUAGUUUUUAUCACCAAUUAUCCUGCUAGGAAUCGGUAGUAUCGGCUUUCAUUGCUUUCUGUUGUUAGAUCCAUUCGUUGCCGAUUAGAUCUUUUCCUAGUACUGUUAUCAUAAGCUUUGUACCGAUUACUUUAGUACUUUUCUGUCUACAAGGCUACAGGGAUCGUGCUAUUUACUAGCCGAUUUCAUUAUCACAGUAAAUCGGCCGAUUCGCCGAUAAACUCUCUCGAUCGGAAACUUAGCCAAUCGUGGUUACUGAAUUUGACACGUGUUCUUCCUUGCCAAUCAACAGGUCAGAUUGGCUGGCACGCCGCGCGAAUCGCACCAGGGCAUUCACCCGAACAGGAGCUAAGCAGAUUCUCCCGGGUCGUGUGUCGGUCGCUGGGAUUCGGUUGACCGAUUUCUAGCGCCAACACACUUUUGGCACGCCCAGUGGGACCAUUACAACCGCUGUCAUGUCGAAAGCUGCUGAAGUCUCCGAAGAUAACGUCAUCGAAGUGACGGAAGCAGAUCUAAAGGACGACCAAAAAGAAGAUCUGAAUCAGUAUUUGGAGCAAGUCCGGAAAACUUGCUUGAAAUCCUUCAGUCGUUCCAGGAGCGGGGAAACUGUUAAAAAGUCUCCUUUCCCUACUCCCCGCCAGAUCACGAUUUCAGAAGAUUCGGACAAAAUGUCCGAUAUGAUUCAGCAAUCUCUUCAUCACGCCUUCAUCAACCAAUCCCCGGUACUUUCAAACAUGGUGCACAAUGCUGUUGUCAACUCCUUCGCCGGAGGUAUACCACAGGGGUACAGGGGGCCUACGUAUUUUCAGCCGAUUCCACCAAAUCAGGCUUAUCAGGCUUCACACCCGAUCCAAUCCUCUGUCGGAGGAUCUGGUGCUUCUACGUCAUCAACUCCUUUGGGAUACGGCUCCAUCCAGCCGUCCACUGCACCACUCCCUCCAGUCAUCCCUUUGCCCUGGGGGGCACCCUUAAACACGACCGGUUUGAAUCAAUCGGUCAGCCAAGGAAAUCCUCCGUUCCAGACACCCUCCCAAACGGCCACUCGGCCGAUCAUACCACCAUACCAGCCUAUCGCUCCGGAGGUCAACAAGACGUCAGAGCUCAUGCUAUAUGAUGAAACAAGUGGUUCAUACAAGCAGCCGUCCUUUACUACACCGCCGGCUUAUACUCAGAUACCACCUUUUCAUCGACCUCCUUUUAUUCAACCUCCGAUUUAUCAACAUGUGCCGAUUCCGCCGCCAAGUAUUCCCCAACAACAACCGGAUUGGACGGCGCAAAUCGCGGAGGUAAUGCAAGAACAAUUCGGACUGAAGCCGAAGGUGCAAACUUAUACCUACAGGACACCAUACCCAUCUACGUAUGACUUGUUGCCGUUUCCCCACCGGUACAAAGUCCCGGAUUUCACUAAAUUUUCCGGAAUGGAUGAUACUUCUACCGUGGAACAUGUGAAUAGAUUCAUCAUCCAAUGCGGAGAAGCAGCUACGCAAGAUGCCCUGCGGGUACGGUUGUUCUCGUCAUCUUUGUCUGGAUCGGCUUUCCAAUGGUUCACCACUUUGCCACCAAACUCGAUUAUCACAUGGGCCGAUCUAGAGAGGUAGUUCCACAAGUACUUCUAUGCUGGAGUCCACGAAAUGAAGUUGUCUGAUUUAACUAGCCUCCGGCAACGAAGUGAUGAGCCGAUACCCUCGUACAUACAGAGGUUUCGGGAAAUCAGAAACAAAUGCUACUCCUUGGCUCUAACCGAUGCGCAGUUGGCCGAUAUAGCUUUCCAAGGCCUGCUGCCACACAUUAAGGAGAAAUAUGCUUCACAGGAGUUCGAGAGCCUGAGCCAGAUUGUCCACCGAUUGUCCGGACAGGAGGUGCGUCCAUUCGAUCCAAGAAGGAAUUUCCAGAAGAAAGUGGCGUUCCUGGAAGAAUUAGAGGACGAGGAAGACGCCGACAUCGGACUUGCAGAGUGGAUUAAAGGAAAGAAGCCGAUAUCAUGCCCGUUCGGCAAAAAGGAGCCGGAAGCAUUUGGUUUCAAUACAACUAAAGCUGACAAAAUCUUCGAUCUUCUACUCCAGGAAGGACAAAUUAAACUCUCGCCUUACCACACGAUACCCUCUGCCGAACAAUUGAAGAAGAUGAAGUAUUGCAAGUGGCAUAACGCCACAUCACAUGAUACCAACGAAUGCAAAAUCUUCAGGCAACAAAUACAGUCGGCCAUUGAGCAAGGCAGACUCAAAUUUGAAGUGCCGGCAAAACCGGCUAAACCUAUGAAGAUUGAUCAACACCCUUUUCCUACCAACAUGGUGGAUACGGGUAAGAAUCCCCUCCAAGCAAAAGUGCUGACGUCCGAAUCGGCAAAAAGGAGCGGCUCUGUCGAUCCCAGAAAUCAAGUUACGCCCGAAGACGUCAAAGGGAAACGGCGAAUGGAGGACGACGAUGGUGAGUCUGAUAGACCACGUAUUACUUCCCAGUUCCUGCUCCAAAAGUACCAACGCCAACAUGAACGAUCGAGGUCCCGAGAGGAAGCAAUGCGUCGGCACGAAGAACACUGGAGAUGCCCAUUCUUCAUCCAUUGUUGGGAAAAUAACCUCAGGCUUCCAUCAGCCGAUACUUGCCCAGAGUGCAACGGUCCCUAUUGAAGCAAUCGGCCGUUCACAAGGUCUCGCUCCAGAGACGGAAGGCCAGAACCGAUCAGCAGGAAUCGGCGCAACCCAGAUGAUCAGCGCCCUUCCAUGCGUGAUCGGCUGGGGGGCAGAAGUGACCGAUAUAAUCGGUCAGAAGAUAGAAGCCAUAAUAGGCAGGGGGGCAGGACCGAUCGACAUGAUCAAUCAAGUAGCAAAGCCAGCGUUCACAGUCGGCUCCAAGACAUGGCCGAUGCUCGGGUAACAGACGAGAACCCGUUAGGACGCGAGCCAGAAUGGGAACGCGCCAGGAAAGAAGGGAGGCCAAUAAACCCCAGAUGGUGUCCCGAUGGUUUGACCAAAUCACAAAAACGAAGAGUCCAACGCCUCCGCCAAUGGGAACAGCAAGAAGAAGAAAGCGCGAUGGACAAGAAGGAAGGGAGGACUCAGGUAUGGCGCCCCAAAGGAAACGACAAGGGCAACGAUGAAUCGGCGGAUGAUGAAUCGGCAGCCGAAAUCGGUAUGGUUUUCAUAUUGCCGAUUGAGUUUAUGACCCCUGCCGAUCAACAGAACGUGUCGGCAAUAGAGGAACAAACAGCACGGUUGGCGUUAGAACCAAUGAUGGCCACGUUCGAAAAGCCCGAAGACGAUGAACGACAACAUAUGAAGGCGUUGUUUCUUAAAGGGCAUGUUGACGGUCGCCCCCUCACUAAAUUGAUGGUCGACGGGGGAGCUGCCGUCAACAUCAUGCCGUAUGCCGUACUCUGAAAGCUGGGAAAGAGCGAUGAAGACCUAACCAGGACGGACAUGAUGCUCAAGGACUUCGAAGGCAAGGUGUCAAACGCUCGCGGUGCCCUCUGCGUCGACCUCACCAUCGGCAGUAAGACCCUUCCCACCACGUUUUUCGUCAUUAAUGGCAAAGGGUCCUAUAAUAUGCUUCUUGGCCGAGACUGGAUACACGCAAACUGCUGCAUCCCGUCAACUAUGCAUCAAUGCCUAGUACAAUGGGUCGGCGAUAACAUCGAGGUGGUCAAAGCCGACUCCGCGUACAGCAUCGCAGCAGCCGACGCACAGCAAUGGAGCUGCGAAACAGUCAGGUGCAUAUCAGGUAGGGUGUGGGAAACCGAUUUCCUAAAGGUCACCGAUUUUGGCCUGCAGCCGAUCCGAGCAGUCGGCUCCGAAGAAGCGCAAUAAAUGGAUCAGUUCGCCCGAGAAGACGGGAAGCUGGGACACGGAUUCACGUCGGCUGAUUCAUUAGAGAUGGUAGAUUUAGGUGACGGGACCAAACCAAGGCCGACUUUUAUUAGUGCAAAUUUAGAUCCAGAGUACAAGUGUAAAUUGACAAAUUUAUUAAGAGAAUUCAAGGAUUGUUUUGCGUGGGAGUAUCACGAGAUGCCCGGAUUAGAUCGAUCUAUUGUUGAACAUCGGCUACCCAUAAAACCAGGGUAUCGGCCGUACCAACAACCCGCACGGCGAUGCAAUCCUAAAAUCUUACCAGACAUAAAAGCCGAAAUAAUUCGGCUGAUUGAAGCAAAAUUUAUUCGGCAAUGUCGUUACGCCGAGUGGAUUUCAAAUAUCGUACCGGUGUAUAAGAAAAACGGGAAGCUGCGUGUUUGCGUUGAUUUCAGAAAUCUUAAUCAGGCCACACCGAUGGAUGGUUACCCCAUGCCUACGGCCGAUGUGCUGAUAGACGCCGCCGCGGGGCACAAAAUUAUUAGCUUCAUGGAUGGAAACGCCGGAUACAAUCAAAUACUUAUGGCCGAAGAGGACAUACCCAAAACGGCUUUCAGAUGUCCAGGCCAUCUUGGUCUAUUCGAGUGGGUGGUGAUGACUUUCGGUUUGAAGAAUGCUGGUGCUACGUAUCAGAGGGCCAUGAACUAUAUUUUCCACAAACUCAUCGGCCUCCUGGUGGAGAUCUACAUCGACGACGUUGUGGUCAAGUCCAAAAGCCACGAGGAACACCUAGCCGAUUUGCGAAGGGUCCUAGAGUGUACCAAAAAACAUGGUCUUAAGAUGAAUCCCAACAAAUGCGCUUUCGGCGUCUCCGCCGGACAGUUCUUAGGAUUCAUGGUGCACGAACGAGGCAUUGAAGUCAAUCAGAAGACCAUAGCGGCUAUCAACAAAGUCAUCGCCCCACAGAACAAAACUGAGUUACAAUCUCUAAUCGGCAAAGUAAACUUCAUCAGAAGAUUUAUAUCUAAUCUAUCUGGACGGAUCCAGGCGUUCACACCACUUCUGAAGUUGAAGCCAGACCAGGAAUUUAUUUGGGGAGAAGAACAGCGCAAGGCGUUAGAAGAUAUCAAGCAAUACUUGGUCUCGCCCCCAGUUCUGGUUCCCCCUCAAACGGGCAAGCCGUUUAAACUAUAUUUAUCAGCCGACGAAAAAGCUAUUGGGUCGGCUCUAGUCCAAGAGUUUGAAGGCAAAGAACGGGUGAUUUAUUACGUUAGUAGAAGACUCUUGGAUGCCGAAACAAGAUAUCCUCCAGUAGAGCGUUUGUGUUUGUGUCUUUACUUCUCGUGCACCAAACUCAGGCACUAUCUACUGUCGGCAGAAUGUAUAGUCGUAUGCAAAGAUGAUGUAGUAAAAUACAUGCUGUCACUGCCGAUAUUGAAAGGGCGAAUCGGUAAAUGGAUUUUAGCUUUAUCAGAAUUUGACCUACGGUACGAAUCGGCAAAAGCCGUCAAAGGUCAAGUCAUGGCCGAUUUCGUCGCACAGCACUGUGGGCCGGAGAUCGCCUUCGUGGAGCUAGCGCCUUGGCAGUUAUUUUUUGAUGGGUCAUCAUGCGGAGUCGGAUCGGGAAUCGGCAUCGUUCUCAUAUCGCCUCGGGGGGCAAGAUAUGAUUUUUCUCUGCCGAUAGAAACCGCCGCCACCAACAAUCAAGCGGAAUACAGAGCUGUAUUAAAAGGCUUACGAUUAUUGAGAGAAGUCAAGGCCGAUUCUGUCGAGGUCUUCGGAGAUUCGAUGCUAAUUGUGGAUCAACUAACCGGAAGAGCUGAAUGCAAAGAUGACAUAUUGCGAAUCCAUCACGAAGAUUGCUUACAGCUUUUGAAAGAAUUCAGAUCGGCAGUAAUUGAGCACGUCCCAAGAAACCACAACGAGGAAGCAAACAAACUCGCUCAACACGCAUCUGGGUAUCGGCCGAUUCCGGGCGCCAUGGCCUUAGAGCUUGCAGCCGACGAUUGGCGUAAGGAAAUUGCCGAUUACCUAAAAGAUCCGUCCAAAAAGGUGGAGCGACGUGUGCGCUUUCAUGCUACCAAGUACGUGUUGCUCGAAGAUGAUCUGUUCUACCGAACGAUCGAUGGUGUUCUUCUUAAAUGCCUUGGAACAGAAGAAGCCAAGACUCUGAUAGGAGAAAUCCAUGAAGGGGUAUGCGGAGCUCACCAAUCAGCACAUAAGAUGAAGUGGAUGAUCAGAAACAACGGGUACUAUUGGCCUACGAUCCUCGAAGAUUGUUUCAAAUAUUAUAAGGGUUGUCAGGAAUGUCAAAAGUUUGGAAAUGUCCAGCGUGCACCCGCAUCGGCCAUGAAUCCCAUCAUUAAACCAUGGCCGUUCAGAGGGUGGGGAAUAGACCUCAUCGGCCAAAUUUAUCCACCAUCGAGCAAGGGGCACAAGUUUAUUCUGGUUGCCACUGAUUAUUUCACCAAAUGGGUGGAGGCAAUCCCACUAAGGACUGUGACGUCGGCUAUCAUGGCCGAUUUCGUAAGGGAGCACAUCGUCUACCGAUUCGGUAUCCCUCAAACUAUAACAACCGAUCAAGGAACAAUGUUCACAUCGGGAGAAUUUGAGGAAUUUACGACCGAUAUGGGCAUCAAGUUGUUAAAUUCUUCUCCAUAUUACGCGCAAGCCAAUGGUCAAGCAGAAUCUUCCAACAAGGGACUAAUCAAGUUGAUCAAAAGGAAGAUUGAAGAAUACCCGAAGAAGUGGCACCUAUGUUUGACCGAAGCCCUGUGGGCAUACAGAAUGGCCUGUCAUGGGGCUACCAAGCUAUCUCCCUAUCAGUUGGUAUACGGCCACGAUGCAGUACUUCCAUGGGAGUCAAGGGCAGGAUCAAGGCGCAUUUUACUUCAAGACCAAUUGUCAGCCAAUGACUACUCAUCUCUGAUGAAGGAAGAACUUGAUGAUGUGGCCGGUCAGCGACUAAGGGCUCUGAUAAGUAUCGAAGAGAAUAAAAAGAGAGUGGCCAGGUGGUACGAUAAAAAGGUCAAAGUCAAGCAGUUCUCCCCCGGAGACUUGGUGUGGAAGUUGGUACUUCCGAUCGGGUCGAAAGAUCCUAAAUUCGGCAAAUGGUCUCCUACCUGGGAAGGGCCGUAUAAAAUCGGCAGAUGCGCUCCAGGGAACGCCUAUAUCUUAGAAACAAUAGAGGGAGAGGAAUUCACUAGAGCUCUGAAUGGGAGGUACUUAAAAAGAUAUUACCCAAGUAUAUGGGUCGGUGCCUAAGGAAUCAACGCAAUCAUACAUGACCGAUACUAUUCGGUUUUGAGAUAUACAUAAAGUCGACCGGAAUAGCCGAUUACAUGCAUUCGGUACGGGCGACGGGUCACAUGGCCGAUAAAAUGUUUAGUCACCCUUAGAACAAAAAAUACAGCAACUAAUUAUUCUUUUUCUUACGCUCCCUCUCAGCCCGACCUAACUCUAUCAUGAGUCGGAUGUAUUCUUCUUCUAUGGCCUUCAUUGAAAUCUCCGCUCCGACUUGACGGGGGAGAUCUACGGGAGGGCGCGAAGUCCCCGCUCCCGCAUCUUCAAGAACGACUUGUCGAGGGAGUGGAUGACUCCUGUCGAUGGGAGGUCGCCGGCUGCCGUUCCUCUCCACGAAGUCCAGGAUCUUUCGGGCCUCCGUGGCAAUGUCGUCUUCAAGAUCGCCACAACGAUCGCUCCUGACAGGUGGAGAUUGAUGGUUACUUUCACUCACUACGGAAUCCAAGACUACGCGAGCCUCCGUGGUGAUAUGGUCCCGGAGCUCCUCUCGGUGAGCCACGAUCAGCAUCUUGUCCUCCGACGUUAAUGGAUCUUCGGAAUGAAUGCACUCAAUGGCGCGCACGAGCUCGGGGCUAAGACGUUGGGGCUGGAACAAAGAAGGAAUGAGGAGGGGUAUUCUCUUCCUUAGGGUCUAAAAAAAAAAGGAAGGUAGAGGUCAAAAACUUCACCUGGUUAACAGAGGAAGAAGAAGACGAUGAGGCCAUAGCGAAGAAAUUGCACCAAUGAGAAGGGGCAGAAAAGUCGAACCGAGAGCCAAGAUUGAUGCUACCGGGAGUAAGCGCCGAGGUUGGUAUUUAUAAAAGAAUGCGUGGAAAUCUGGUAAAGCUACGUCCCAUCGGUAAUAAGAAGGCAAUAAAUAGAAAGGGCGUCGCGAGGGGCGGUCAAAGAGGAUAGUAAAUGAUUCGUACAAAACGGUCAGUGUUUUACAGAUUACCCAGAAGGGUAUCGAUAGCCGUGAUGGCCCGACGCCGGAUCUGAUCGGCAGAGUCAAGUACCCGUUGGUCUUCUUCCGCCGAUCCAGGAACCUCCGAUGCGCUGCGAUGGAGUCUCAGUGCCUCGUGAGCAAAGCGUUGCCUCUCCCGUGUCAAAUCGGCAAUCACAGAGGGUAGCUCUUGGAGUUUGUUCUCUUCGGCAUUGAUUGCUUUGAUCACUUGCUCCAUUUCCUUGGCAAGCUCCGCCCUCCGACGCUUGAGACGGUCUAUCUCACCUAUGAUCGCCGGGCGGGAAUCUUCUAGGACAUGGAUACGCCGAUUCGCCUCUUGAGCCUGACGCUUGAAAGCGUCUUCCUCUUCGCGAGCCUUGGUCAGCUUGGCGCGAUCGGCCAUGUGACGAAGGGCUCUGAAGACCGGGAUCCUCAUAGACUCGAUGAAGGCCGCCGGCGCCAGGGCCUCCUCCGCCUCUUCUGGUACUCGUCCGCUGACGUCAUUGAAGAGCUGCCGAAUCGGCGAAGCGUCUUCUACUAAUCGGCCGAUGUCCCCUUGAAGGAGGGACCGGAUGCUGGAAAGUUUGGCUCGGACGUCAUCAGGAACGGAACUCAAAGCGACUUGGCGAGAAGCAACUUCUUCGUCGUCAGAGAGGGCGACCGCAAAAGAAAAGAGGCUGUUGUCGGGGGUAUCCUGUUCCUAAAGAGAAUAAAGAAAAGAAAUAAACCAGCUGUAAGAAAGAGCAAAUCGGCUAAGAUAGAGGACGAAACAGAAAAAUACCAUUUUGAAGCGAAUUUCCUCAUGAUGCACUUGAGAAGCCGCCAUGCCUUGCUCGGGGGCCUGCGCCAUGGGUUCGUCAGAGGAAGAGGACUCCACGAUAAUUGGCGCAGUGUUUGGACCAGCCUCCUGACAAGAAAUCGGCAAUUGAGGAACGAUUGAUGUGCCGAUUGCCUGUGUCAGAAGUUUGGAUAAAUACGUUACGUGAGUGCCCGAAGAAAAUCAGCAUGAGAAGUUCUAUACCUUAACGGAAGGAAAUGGGGGCGCGUCAAUAGCUGGAGGGGCUGUUGCCGAUUGUGGUACUUCUGUAGGGAUGCUCUGUGCAGUUCAAGGUUAAAGAAAAGUUAAAUAUCAAAAUAAUAAUCGGAGGCAGCGCAACUCAGUUUUACCUGUAUGGCCUCCAACAACAACGAUGCGGCGGCCGCCCCAACUUGCGCCAUGGUUUGAGUAUCGACACUUUGGAUUAGAUGAGGAGGUGGUACGGCCGAAGUUUCUGCCGAUACGCUCACAGGAGGAUCCGCCGAUCCCGUACGAGCCCGGACUCGGCGACUGGUCUUCUUGGUGGUCCUUUUAUGAACUUGUUUCGAUCGGCCAGUAAUCACGUCAACAGACGGGGCGUUAUAGCCGAUAAGGGGAUAAGUAGUGUAUGGAUGACUCUCUAUCAGUCGUCCGCUGCGGCUGUGUGUUGGAGGGAUCCGAUUCUCGGCCUAAAAUAAUAAAAUCAUUAGUACUCGAUCGUGUUAAGAGGAAUAAAAGGGAAUAAAAAUCGGCUAUGUGAAGUACCCUCGGCGUUUGGGUCGAUGUUGGUCGGGUCCAGAAGAUUGCAGUAUGCCGAUGCUGAGUUGCAGAAGAGGAAUUGCUUCCAAUCAGCCCACCAGAGUUUGAACGGCUGGACAGCAAAUGGAGCUACUAGCCAGUCGUUCAAAUUAAUUGUACUGGAGUCUGGAAUUCGGUCUCGCAACCGACCGUAAUCUAGGCCAGAUGUGAGAUCAUCUCUAAACUUGAUUUUGCCAGCAAAGUACACCUGAAUCGGCAGCUGACCCAUGCCGAAUUGUCGUGCCGCAGCAGAAGGGUUGUAGAAUUCAUACGUAGGGGCAUCCUUCCCUGAGAAGAAGUUAGCCGGUAGGAUCCCCGGCUUGAUCAACCCUUCAUAGAGAUCUUCGUCAAACCGGCCAGAAGUUGAAUCGAAGCAGAAAGGGAGCUCGAAGAUGGGGAUGUCUCGCUGAUAUGGAAAUCAGAUAGUUGCGUCCUCAUUAAAUCCAUUAUAAAAACACCGAAAGUACUCGGCUACCUUUGUAGCGGAAUGUGCACAACCUGGAAAAGCUGAUGCUGCUUCGCCAUAAGACAUGCAUCGGCGGCGCUCGGUAGGGUCUUCUGCCGAUUCAAUAUUGGGAAAUGUCAUGCGGUCCACUGGCUGCCGAGUGAUCCUGUUCAUAUAAAGGUUCAACCAUAAAUUGACGAACCACCAAGGCCCACCUGGGUUGCCGAUUGGUUCUCCCUUGGAAAGUUUUGUGCCGAUUUGGUGGAGCAUAUGGUACACAGCACCCAGAAGAUGCUUCCCGAGAGGAAUGUGGUUUCCUUUGGACAGAGCCUCGGCUAAAGAUUGGGUGUUGGUUGUUGGGCCGGCGGCUCUUCCACAGAAGAAGUGUUUUUCGAGCCACAUCAUCAGGAAAGCGGUGUGCUCCCUGUUAUCAACAGUACCGGUCUUCUUAUUAUCAUUAAUAAAGCCCUUCCAGCCGCCGAUUCUUCUUGUGUCCAGCCGAUGCGAUGGUACGGUCAGAAGUUGGAAAGGCGUGUCAGGGGACGAUACAUCCAGGCCGGUCAAGAGGACCACAUCGGCCAGAGUGGGGGUCAUGGGACCGUGUCCAAAUAAGAAUGCAUUAAGUGCGUCAGACCAAAAAUAGGAAGCCGCCAUUACUAGCGGUUCGUUUUUCUCCAUUUGCGACAGGGAAAGGUUGAUACAUUGGCCGAUUUUGAGCUCAUCCCACGAGACGCUCUUUGACGCGGCUAUCCGUUGGUACCAUUCCCUCCAACCUGGGGUUUCAUUCGGCCAAGAUCUAAAAGUGCUGGCCCAUUGAUCUAAGUUCAUAUCAGAUCGUUUGAAAGGUAUCCGAUCAGUUUCCAAGUUUAUGAGGUCUGCUGGAUCCGGAUCUCCCAUGGGACCAAGGCAAACAAGGCCAGGACUACCCGUGAGAUGAAUAGUAAUUCUAUGUCUAACCGCCUAAAAAAGGAAAAGGGGCAUAAGAAUAUAAAGAGUAGAUCUAAGAUAAAUACGUUACCGAUAGAGGAAAGAUUCGGUAUUUACCUCCGGUAUAAAAUUCUGAGUAGUCGGUGUGGUCGCCGAUGCAGAUGCGGAUGGUAGAGUAGCAAUGGGGAUCGCCACUGGGAUUUCUGAUGAAACUCCUUCAUUUGCGGAUGGAGUUACGGUUGUCACCACCGUUGCCGAAGGCGCUACCUCCACCGGGGGCAUUGUCCCUGGAGCAUCGCGUGCUGGGGAAUUACCGGAAGGAGUCGCCAUUGAAGGGAAAGAGGGAGAAGUGAUUGGAGCUGAAACUGGAAGACUUCGAUGGCAAGAUUGGAGAAAGAAGGAGGUGCGCGCGCUGGAAAAGGAGAUGCGAGCUUGAAGAUGAGUUGCGGUGAAAUGGUAUUUAUAGGGUGCCUGAAGAAAGGGUAAAAAUGGAAUUUUCACCACGCCGGCGUAUCGAGUUUUUCGGGGUAGUGGCUGUCGUGGGCGCCCGUUUCAAAAAAUUGCAAUGAUCAGCCGGGAGACCGCGAAACGGAAGGAUAUUUUCACUGCGGCCGUUUCGGAGGAGAGGUUGUAAAGAAUUUCGAAGUAAAAGAUUAUAUUUUACUCCGAAACUGGGGGGCAUGUGUUGACGCCGGAUUUCGUCAUCAGUAGAAUCGGCACCAAAGAGGGAAAAAGGGGAGGAAGUACGGAUGGAAAUCGGCCAAAAGGUGCUACAGUACGGAAUCGGUCAGUAGCUUUUACUCCGCUUCCGGGUGAAUGCGCCAGGUUCCCAAUCGGCAAUCCUUUGCUGAUAAGAGAUCGACCGAUCGGGAAGGUGGACUAAGGUGGGCCUGUAUGGGCUUGGAAAAAUGGAGGGAUAAGGUGGAGUUCAGCCCACGAAGCGUGGGGUAGUUGGUUUAGCACGGAUUGUGCUGGUAGAUGUUUGUUUUCUGUUUGAAUUAGAGAUAGAGUUCUAGUCGGUUAAGAAGAUUAUGUGUACGGGGCUAUAAAUAGCUACCUUUGUAAAUCUGUA